UACGUAGGGUGCGAGCGUUAAUCGGAUUUACUGGGCGUAAAGGGCGCGUAGGCGGCGCGGUAAGUCACUUGUGAAAUCUCUGAGCUUAACUCAGAACGGCCAAGUGAUACUGCAGUGCUAGAGUGCAGAAGGGGCAAUCGGAAUUCUUGGUGUAGCGGUGAAAUGCGUAGAUAUCAAGAGGAACACCUGAGGUGAAGACGGGUUGCUGGGCUGACACUGACGCUGAGUGCGCGAAAGCCAGGGGAGCAAACGGG
This 254-nucleotide ribosomal RNA is filed under the name uncultured bacterium. RNAcentral's name for it is "partial 16S ribosomal RNA". It matches the Rfam family "Bacterial small subunit ribosomal RNA", at positions 524 to 776 of the family's 1533-position model. The record is from RNAcentral.